This 1343-nucleotide ribosomal RNA is filed under the name uncultured bacterium. RNAcentral describes it as "16S ribosomal RNA". It matches the Rfam family "Bacterial small subunit ribosomal RNA", at positions 28 to 1378 of the family's 1533-position model. The record is from RNAcentral.
GACGAACGCUGGCGGCGUGCUUAACACAUGCAAGUCGAACGGAAAGGCCCUGCUUUUGUGGGGUGCUCGAGUGGCGAACGGGUGAGUAACACGUGAGUAACCUGCCCUUGACUUUGGGAUAACUUCAGGAAACUGGGGCUAAUACCGGAUAGGAGCUCCUGCUGCAUGGUGGGGGUUGGAAAGUUUCGGCGGUUGGGGAUGGACUCGCGGCUUAUCAGCUUGUUGGUGGGGUAGUGGCUUACCAAGGCUUUGACGGGUAGCCGGCCUGAGAGGGUGACCGGCCACAUUGGGACUGAGAUACGGCCCAGACUCCUACGGGAGGCAGCAGUGGGGAAUAUUGCACAAUGGGCGGAAGCCUGAUGCAGCAACGCCGCGUGCGGGAUGACGGCCUUCGGGUUGUAAACCGCUUUCGCCUGUGACGAAGCGUGAGUGACGGUAAUGGGUAAAGAAGCACCGGCUAACUACGUGCCAGCAGCCGCGGUGAUACGUAGGGUGCGAGCGUUGUCCGGAUUUAUUGGGCGUAAAGGGCUCGUAGGUGGUUGAUCGCGUCGGAAGUGUAAUCUUGGGGCUUAACCCUGAGCGUGCUUUCGAUACGGGUUGACUUGAGGAAGGUAGGGGAGAAUGGAAUUCCUGGUGGAGCGGUGGAAUGCGCAGAUAUCAGGAGGAACACCAGUGGCGAAGGCGGUUCUCUGGGCCUUUCCUGACGCUGAGGAGCGAAAGCGUGGGGAGCGAACAGGCUUAGAUACCCUGGUAGUCCACGCUGUAAACGGUGGGUACUAGGUGUGGGGUCCAUUCCACGGGUUCCGUGCCGUAGCUAACGCUUUAAGUACCCCGCCUGGGGAGUACGGCCGCAAGGCUAAAACUCAAAGGAAUUGACGGGGCCCCGCACAAGCGGCGGAGCAUGCGGAUUAAUUCGAUGCAACGCGUAGAACCUUACCUGGGUUUGACAUGGAUCGGGAGUGCUCAGAGAUGGGUGUGCCUCUUAUGGGGUCGGUUCACAGGUGGUGCAUGGCUGUCGUCAGCUCGUGUCGUGAGAUGUUGGGUUAAGUCCCGCAACGAGCGCAACCCUUGUUCACUGUUGCCAGCACGUUAUGGUGGGGACUCAGUGGAGACCGCCGGGGUCAACUCGGAGGAAGGUGGGGAUGACGUCAAGUCAUCAUGCCCCUUAUGUCCAGGGCUUCACGCAUGCUACAAUGGCUGGUACAGAGAGUGGCGAGCCUGUGAGGGUGAGCGAAUCUCGGAAAGCCGGUCUCAGUUCGGAUUGGGGUCUGCAACUCGACCUCAUGAAGUCGGAGUCGCUAGUAAUCGCAGAUCAGCAACGCUGCGGUGAAUACGUUCCCGGG